Molecule: ribosomal RNA, 554 nt
Filed under: uncultured euryarchaeote
Lineage: Archaea; Methanobacteriati; Methanobacteriota
Description: bacterial SSU rRNA
Rfam family: Archaeal small subunit ribosomal RNA
Source: RNAcentral
ACGGGGUGCAGCAGGCGCGAAAACUUUACAAUGCGGGAAACCGUGAUAAGGGGACCUCGAGUGCCAGCAUAUUAUGUUGGCUGUCCAGAUGCCUAAAUAGCAUUUGAUAGCAAGGGCCGGGCAAGACCGGUGCCAGCCGCCGCGGUAACACCGGCGGCCCGAGUGGUAACCGUUAUUAUUGGGUCUAAAGGGUCCGUAGCCGGCCAAGUAAGUCCCUUGGGAAAUCUGGCAGCUUAACUGUCAGGCUGCCAGGGGAUACUGCUUGGCUUGGGACCGGGAGAGGUGAGAGGUACCUCAGGGGUAGGGGUGAAAUCUUGUAAUCCUUGAGGGACCACCAGUGGCGAAGGCGUCUCACCAGAACGGGUCCGACGGCAAGGGACGAAAGCUAGGGGCACGAACCGGAUUAGAUACCCGGGUAGUCCUAGCCGUAAACGAUACUCGCUAGGUGUCAGCCACGGUGCGACCGUGGUUGGUGCCGUAGGGAAGCCGUGAAGCGAGCCACCUGGGAAGUACGGCCGCAAGGCUGAAACUUAAAGGAAUUGGCGGGGGAGCAC